Molecule: long non-coding RNA, 360 nt
Filed under: Linum usitatissimum (flax)
Lineage: Eukaryota; Viridiplantae; Streptophyta; Magnoliopsida; Malpighiales; Linaceae
Description: long non-coding RNA (LUSI_LNC001300)
Source: RNAcentral
GUAUCUUCUUCGGAUUAACUGAAACAAUGGGGGUCAAAGAGAAAUUGGCAAAUGUUAAGCACAUGAAGAAAAAAAGGGACGCAUCAGAGAGAAAUGACACACACAGGGAAAUAAGCAAAGACAGACCAUACGGAAAAACUUGGCCACAGCUUCCUUGUCAUAUCUUGCUUCUUUGGCAGCCUGCAAUUUGAAUAGAAAGUAAUCACAGAUCUCGUAAACUUGUAAACAUCGAAUAUUAGCUAAUGGUGGCAACCUAAAGAGGGUCAACGAACAAGCUUAAGGGAGCAUUGAAAGGUUCGUGCAAAGCAAUCCAAGUCAAAUCAGGAAAGAAGACUUACUGCAAGGAGCCCUGCACUGCCU